Molecule: ribosomal RNA, 500 nt
Filed under: uncultured bacterium
Lineage: Bacteria
Description: bacterial SSU rRNA
Rfam family: Bacterial small subunit ribosomal RNA
Source: RNAcentral
GAUGAACGCUAGCGGCAGGCUUAAUACAUGCAAGUCGAGGGGUAACAGGGGUAGCAAUACCUGCUGACGACCGGCAAACGGGUGAGUAAUACAUCGGAACGUGCCCGAUCGUGGGGGAUAACGGAGCGAAAGCUUUGCUAAUACCGCAUACGAUCUACGGAUGAAAGCAGGGGACCGCAAGGCCUUGCGCGGACGGAGCGGCCGAUGGCAGAUUAGGUAGUUGGUGGGAUAAAAGCUUACCAAGCCGACGAUCUGUAGCUGGUCUGAGAGGACGACCAGCCACACUGGGACUGAGACACGGCCCAGACUCCUACGGGAGGCAGCAGUGGGGAAUUUUGGACAAUGGGCGCAAGCCUGAUCCAGCCAUGCCGCGUGCAGGAUGAAGGCCUCGGUUGUAAACUGCUUUGUACGUACGAAAGAACACUUCUAAUAAAGAAGGUCAUGACGUACCGUAAGAAGUAAGACAACCGGCUAACUACGUAGCCAGCAGCCGCGGUAAU